GCGUGGAGGAUGAAAGUUUUCGAAUUGUAAACUCCUGUCCAGAGGGACGAAGACAGUGACGGUACCUCUGGAGGAAGCCCCGGCUAACUCCGUGCCAGCAGCCGCGGUAAUACGGGGGGGGCAAGCGUUGUUCGGAAUUACUGGGCGUAAAGGGCGCGUAGGCGGUUUCGGAAGUUAUGGGUGAAAGCCCCCGGCUCAACUGGGGAAUUGCCUGUAAAACCACGGGACUGGAGUGCUGGAGAGGGAAGUGGAAUUCCCAGUGUAGCGGUGAAAUGCGU
This 278-nucleotide ribosomal RNA is filed under the name uncultured bacterium. RNAcentral's name for it is "partial 16S ribosomal RNA". It matches the Rfam family "Bacterial small subunit ribosomal RNA", at positions 399 to 691 of the family's 1533-position model. The record is from RNAcentral.